Molecule: ribosomal RNA, 414 nt
Filed under: uncultured bacterium
Lineage: Bacteria
Description: bacterial SSU rRNA
Rfam family: Bacterial small subunit ribosomal RNA
Source: RNAcentral
UGCAAGUCGAACGCCCGCAAGGGGAGUGGCAGACGGGUGAGUAACGCGUGGGAACGUGCCUUUGGUUACGGAAUAACUCAGGGAAACUUGAGCUAAUACCGGAUAAGUGCGAGAGCAGAAAGAUUUAUCGGCCGAAGGAUCGGCCCGCGUCCGAUUAGCUAGUUGGUGGGGUAAAGGCCCACCAAGGCGACGAUCGGUAGCUGGUCUGAGAGGAUGAUCAGCCACAUGGGACUGAGACACGGCCCAAACUCCUACGGGAGGCAGCAGUGGGGAAUAUUGGACAAUGGGCGCAAGCCUGAAUCCAGCCAUGCCGCGUGAGUGAUGAAGGCCUUAGGGUUGUAAAGCUCUUUCGCCAGGGACGAUAAUGACGGUACCUGGAUAAGAAGCCCCGGCUAACUUCGUGCCAGCCGCGGC